This 433-nucleotide ribosomal RNA is filed under the name uncultured bacterium. RNAcentral describes it as "partial 16S ribosomal RNA". It matches the Rfam family "Bacterial small subunit ribosomal RNA", at positions 29 to 507 of the family's 1533-position model. The record is from RNAcentral.
AACGAACGCUGGCGGCAUGCCUAACACAUGCAAGUCGAACGAGACCUUCGGGUCUAGUGGCGCACGGGUGCGUAACGCGUGGGAACCUGCCCUUAGGUUCGGAAUAACUCCCCGAAAGGGGUGCUAAUACCGGAUAAUGUCUUCGGACCAAAGAUUUAUCGCCUUUGGAUGGGCCCGCGUUGGAUUAGCUAGUUGGUAGGGUAAAAGCCUACCAAGGUGACGAUCCAUAGCUGGUCUGAGAGGAUGAUCAGCCACACUGGGACUGAGACACGGCCCAGACUCCUACGGGAGGCAGCAGUGGGGAAUAUUGGACAAUGGGCGAAAGCCUGAUCCAGCAAUGCCGCGUGAGUGAUGAAGGCCUUAGGGUUGUAAAGCUCUGUUACCCGGGAUGAUAAUGACAGUACCGGGAGAAUAAGCUCAGGCUAACUCCGUG